Molecule: ribosomal RNA, 168 nt
Filed under: Aeschynomene schimperi
Lineage: Eukaryota; Viridiplantae; Streptophyta; Magnoliopsida; Fabales; Fabaceae
Description: 5.8S ribosomal RNA
Rfam family: 5.8S ribosomal RNA
About the family: 5.8S ribosomal RNA (5.8S rRNA) is a component of the large subunit of the eukaryotic ribosome. It is transcribed by RNA polymerase I as part of the 45S precursor that also contains 18S and 28S rRNA.
Source: RNAcentral
UCUAUAAUGACUCUCGGCAACGGAUAUCUCGGCCCUUGCAUCGAUGAAGAACGUAGCGAAAUGCGAUACUUGGUGUGAAUUGCAGAAUCCCGUGAACCAUCGAGUCUUUGAACGCAAGUUGCGCCCGAAGCCAUUAGGCUAAGGGCACGCCUGCCUGGGUGUCACCAA